This 353-nucleotide unclassified non-coding RNA is filed under the name soil metagenome. RNAcentral's name for it is "partial contains 5.8S ribosomal RNA, internal transcribed spacer 2, and large subunit ribosomal RNA". The stretch from base 1 to 120 matches the Rfam family "5.8S ribosomal RNA", at positions 35 to 154 of the family's 154-position model. The record is from RNAcentral.
GAUGAAGAACGCAGCGAAAUGCGAUAAGUAAUGUGAAUUGCAGAAUUCAGUGAAUCAUCGAAUCUUUGAACGCACAUUGCGCCCGCCAGUAUUCUGGCGGGCAUGCCUGUUCGAGCGUCAUUACAACCCUCAGGCCCCCGGGCCUGGCGUUGGGGAUCGGCGGAAGCCCCCUGCGGGCACAACGCCGUCCCCCAAAUACAGUGGCGGUCCCGCCGCAGCUUCCAUUGCGUAGUAGCUAACACCUCGCAACUGGAGAGCGGCGCGGCCACGCCGUAAAACACCCAACUUCUGAAAGUUGACCUCGAAUCAGGUAGGAAUACCCGCUGAACUUAAGCAUAUCAAUAAGCGGAGGA